Molecule: ribosomal RNA, 24 nt
Filed under: Dendrobium chrysotoxum
Lineage: Eukaryota; Viridiplantae; Streptophyta; Magnoliopsida; Asparagales; Orchidaceae
Description: partial 26S ribosomal RNA
Source: RNAcentral
GCGACCCCAGGACAGGCGAGGCCA